Long non-coding RNA from Amphiprion ocellaris (clown anemonefish), 1368 nucleotides. NCBI's taxonomy places the organism in Eukaryota, Metazoa, Chordata, Actinopteri, Pomacentridae. The record is from Ensembl.
GUACUACUGAUAAAAUUAACGUUGUCCACUGAUUAUUUGCAAAACUGCAGAAUUUGACUAGUGCGUUUAAAGCCUGGAGCUGAGUCAGUGGAGCUUUAUUAACAGCAUGUGAAACGCAGUUAUGCCAAUAUGUGGGAAAGCUGUAUGGUCUGAGUCAGACAAUGUUUUGAUUGCUAAAAAUAAACAAUGACAUGCUGAUAUUAGUACCAAAACAAACCUAGAUAUUGGGAGAGGCAUGUGCGGUAUGGGCUAAUAAAAUGCUACUUCUAUGGAAGAAAGAACAGAGUCAAAUUUGGAGAAAGCUCAAAAAAAGACUUUGGCCAUUGGUAGCCUGAGCCAGCUGGUGUCACCACAGUCUCCAGCCAUGCUGCUGGUUGUACAGGAGAACCAGAGCCCUGAUGGCCAUUAUGGGUUCAUAUGUCGCUACAGGGAAGAAGGCGGACUAGUGGUAGUCAAGGUGGACAAUUCUCACCUCUGCGUGGAUGACAGAUUGGUGGAGGUGAACGGUGUACCGGUUGUCAACUCCACACAGGAAGAGCUGACUGACCUCCUGCUGCAGGGACCCAGUGCUCAAAUUGUUGUCCUUCGCCAACCCCCGCCCAGCCUCACCUCCCCUCUGUUCCUGCAGCAUACGGUCAGCCCUGAUCCCGUGCAAACAGUCUGCCCAGAGGGAGAUGCAGUCACCAUGGAAACCCCUCCACAGCGUAAGGUGAUGGCCAUCUGAUGAUUACAAGGAAGAGAAAAAAAAGACUGAGAGAAUUGCGAUGAGAAAAGUCUGCAGUCUUAUAGUUUUUUACCUCCAUAUGUGAACAUGCUUAUUGUACUGGUGAAAUGUUUCUCAUUGAUUGUUGACAAUCGCCUUUUAGUUAGAAAUGUCAUGACUGUGUUUUUCACCAUAGGUACAUAACUUUAUUCUUGGUAGUCAGUAAUGUAUAACAGAUAUUGUUUCAAUGUUUGCACAGAGCAAUGCCUUUAAAAAACAAAUAACUCAAGCAAAGACUACAUUCAUUUUUUUUCUAUUUAGAGUUCUCCUUGUUUUAUAUUAUCUAUUUUUUUUUUUUUUUGCCAUGGGGGAACAUGGAAAGUACAAAGCCUCACAAAGUUUUGCUCAACUGGAUAUGUGAUAAGCAUUUCCUUCUUUUUAAGCAUCCAGCAAAGUAGUUCCUGAGGUAUAACAAUGUAAGCCUGAUGAGCACUCUGAAUGCCUCAUCUCUUUUAAAGCAGAGACAGAAGUGGAUAGAAUCUGAAAAUAUGUGACAUAAUGUAAAAACACAAGCUUUUGCAUCCUGUCUGCAAGCUUUCUCUGCAGAUCUGACACUAAGAUGGUCUGGAACAAUGUUCAGGGCAGAACAUUUCUUAAAAAAUGAG